RNAcentral lists this ribosomal RNA (468 nucleotides) under uncultured bacterium. Its description in RNAcentral is "partial 16S ribosomal RNA". It matches the Rfam family "Bacterial small subunit ribosomal RNA", at positions 28 to 507 of the family's 1533-position model. The record is from RNAcentral.
GACGAACGCUGGCGGCGUGCUUAACACAUGCAAGUCGAACGGAAAGACCCUGCUUUUGUGGGGUGCUCGAGUGGCGAACGGGUGAGUAACACGUGAGUAACCUGCCCUUGACUUUGGGAUAACUUCAGGAAACUGGGGCUAAUACCGGAUAGGAGCUCCUGCUGCAUGGUGGGGGUUGGAAAGUUUCGGCGGUUGGGGAUGGACUCGCGGCUUAUCAGCUUGUUGGUGGGGUAGUGGCUUACCAAGGCUUUGACGGGUAGCCGGCCUGAGAGGGUGACCGGCCACAUUGGGACUGAGAGACGGACCAGACUCGUACGGGAGGCAGCAGUGGGGAAUAUUGCACAAUGGGCGGAAGCCUGAUGCAGCAACGCCGCGUGCGGGAUGACGGCCUUCGGGUUGUAAACCGCUUUCGCCGGUGACGAAGCGUGAGUGACGGUAAUGGGUAAAGAAGCACCGGCUAACUACGUG